Molecule: transfer RNA, 75 nt
Filed under: Vibrio campbellii
Lineage: Bacteria; Pseudomonadati; Pseudomonadota; Gammaproteobacteria; Vibrionales; Vibrionaceae
Description: tRNA-Lys
Rfam family: tRNA
About the family: Transfer RNA (tRNA) molecules are approximately 80 nucleotides in length. Their secondary structure includes four short double-helical elements and three loops (D, anti-codon, and T loops).
Source: RNAcentral
UGGUCGUUAGCUCAGUUGUAGAGCAGUUGACUUUUAAUCAAUUGGUCGCAGGUUCGAAUCCUGCACGACCCACCA